This is a small nucleolar RNA of Arabis alpina (gray rockcress), 107 nucleotides long. It matches the Rfam family "Plant small nucleolar RNA R71". From Rfam's summary of the family: R71 is a member of the C/D box family of snoRNAs containing the C (UGAUGA) and D (CUGA) box motifs. Multiple nearly identical copies of this snoRNA have been identified in Arabidopsis, and it is thought to function as a 2'-O-ribose methylation guide for 18S ribosomal RNA. The record is from Rfam. NCBI's taxonomy places the organism in Eukaryota, Viridiplantae, Streptophyta, Magnoliopsida, Brassicales, Brassicaceae.
AAACCAUGUUGUGGUCAGCUUCUUGUAUACUCUUUGAAUCGGUCUAAGGCUUCAUGGAAUGGUUCAUUGGCACCUUGUUGAAAGUUAUAGAUCUUGUCCCUAAGUUG